This 392-nucleotide unclassified non-coding RNA is filed under the name soil metagenome. Its description in RNAcentral is "partial contains 5.8S ribosomal RNA, internal transcribed spacer 2, and large subunit ribosomal RNA". The stretch from base 1 to 122 matches the Rfam family "5.8S ribosomal RNA", at positions 35 to 154 of the family's 154-position model. The record is from RNAcentral.
GAUGAAGAACGUAGCGAAAUGCGAUACUGGGUGUGAAUUGCAGAAUCCCGUGAACCAUCGAGUCUUUGAACGCAAGUUGCGCCCGAAGCCAUUAGGCCGAGGGCACGCCUGCCUGGGCGUCACACGUCGUUGCCCCCCCCAUCUACUCCUUCGGGAUUGCGGGGGGCGGAUGAUGGCCUCCCGUGCGCCUCGCCGCGCGGUUGGCAUAAAUGCCAAGUCCUCGGCGACGCACGCCACGACAAUCGGUGGUUGCGAAACCUCGGUUGCCCGUCGUGUGCGGUCGUCGCGCAUCGAGGGCUCGAAAAAAUUGCCGAGUUCCGGCUCGGCUUUCAACGCGACCCCAGGUCAGGCGGGGUUACCCGCUGAAUUUAAGCAUAUCAAUAAGCGGAGGA